GGUCUCCAAGACCUUCCUAGCGUGGAAGAGUCUCCCAAGAGGAUGUCUUCACUGGUUUUGGGGAGAAAUAAGUAAAUUGGGGUCCCCAAAAGAUUUGGAAAAGGAAGGGAUGGAGAAACCAAAGGGUCUCCAAGACUUUUCUAUAGUUUGGAAGCUAGGAAGAUGUGGAGAGAGGGGAAGGGGGUUCAAGGAGGAUCUCUAGAGUAUGGAGAGGAAUUAUGGGGUCUCCAAGACUUUUCUAUAGUUUGGAAGCUAGGAAGAUGUGGAGAGAGGGGAAGGGGGUUCAAGGAGGAUCUCUAGAGUAUGGAGAGGAAUUAUGGGGUCUCCAAGACCCUCCUAGCGUGGAAGGAGCUUCCAGGAGGACAUCUCCCUGGUUUUGGGGGGAAAUAAGUAAAUUGGGGUCCCCAAAGGGUUUGGGAAAGGAAGGGAUGGAAAAACAAGGACCCUGGAGCCCUUUCCUGGGGUGGAAGGGCUUUCAAGGAGGAUCACCUUUCUCAGGAGAGCGAGGAAGACCUUGCUUGGGUGGAGAAGGCUUCAAGGAGGGUCUCCUCGGUGGGUUGGGAGAGGAAGAAGGGAAGGGUCGGCGCCCGAGACCUUCUUAGCGCGGAUGCGGCUUCCGACGGGCCGUGGCUCCAAGGAGGCGAAGGACACGCGCAGCCCGGGCAAGGACGGCGAGGAAGCGGCUCGUUCCCGGAGGAAGAGAGAAGAAGCCGAGCCUGUUCCGGAUCCUCGUGGAACCGCAGCGUUGCAGCUCCGCCCGGAGGAUCCUCCUCCUCCUCCUCCUCCCGGGCCCCGCCCUCGCCGUGCGCGCCCACGACCGCCUCCCACGGGCGGGUGCGCGCGCUCUGCCCAGCCAAAGGGGGAAAGGAUCCGCUCCACGGUAGACCUGAUGCGGAUUGACACCGCUCCAAAUGCCCUUGGCUCAGAGCUAUGGGAUCCAUCCUAGCAGUCGUGGUUGAUCCCAAGGGCUUCUUGAGCCUUCCAAUAAUAAUAUAAUAUAAUAACUUUAAUUAUAUAUUAUAUAUUAAAUGUAAUAUAACUAAUAAUAAUACCAUAUAAUGAUAUAGUACAAUAUAGUAAUUUAAUGCUUAUAUUGUGCUAUGCGAGUACAGUAGAGUCUUACUUAUCCAAGCUAAACGGGCCGGCAGAAACUUGGAUAAGCGAAUAUCUUGGAUAAUAAGGAGGGAUUAAGGAAAAGCCUAUAAAAAUGCAUUGGAUAAUCCAGAACGUUGGAUAACGUUGGAUAAGCGAGUGUUGGAUAAGUGAGACUCUACUGUAUAUAUUAAAUGUAAUAUUACUAAUAAUAUUACCAUAUAAGUAAGGUAAAGGUAAAGGUUUUCCCCUGACGUUGUCCAGUCGUGAUUGACUCUUAGGGUUGGUGCUCAUCUACAUUUCUAAGCCGAAGAGCCGGCGUUGUCCGUAAACACCUCCAAGGUCAUGUGGCUGGCAUGACUGCAUGGAGUGCCGUUACCUUCCCGCCGGAGCAGUACCUAUUGAUCUACUCACAUUGGCAUGUUUUCAAACUGCUAGGUUGGCAGGAGCUGGGGCUAACAGCGGGCGCUCAUUCCACUCCCAGGAUUUGAACCUGGGACCUUUCGGUCUGCAAGUUCAGCAGCUCAACACUUUAACACAUUGCACCACCAGGUCUCCUUAUGAUAUAGUACCAUAUAGUAAUUUAAUGCUUAUAUUGUGCUAUGCUAAUACUAUAUUGUAUGUACAUUUGAUUUGUAAGCUGCUCUGAGUCCCCUCCGGGGUGAGAAGAGCAGGAUAUAAAUGUAGUAAAUAAAUAAAUAAAUAAAUAUGUUACCAAAGUUAAUGAUAAUACAGUAGAGUCUCACUUAUCCAACAUAAACAGGCUGGCAGAAUGUUGGAUAAGUGAAUAUCUUGGAUAAUAAGGAGGGAUUAAGGAAAAACCUAUUAAACAUCAAAUUAGGUUAUGAUUUUACAAAUUAAGCACCAAAACAUCAUGUUGUACAACAAAUUUGACAGAAAAAGCAGUUCAAUAUGCAGUAAUGCUAUGUAGUAAUUACUGUAUUUACGAAUUUAGCACCAAAAUAUCACAAUACUGUAUACUGAAAACAUUGACUACAAAAAUGGCUUGGAUAAGCGAGGCUUGGAUAAGUGAGGCUUGGAUAAGUGAGACUCUACUGUACUGUAUUUACGAAUUUAACACCAAAAUAUCAUGAUGUAUUGAAAAUAUUGACUACAAAAAUGCGUUGGAUAAUCCAGAACGUUGGAUAAGCGAGUCUUGGAUAAGUGAGACUCUACUGUAAUAAUAUUAAUUAUAUAUUAUAUAUUAAAUGUAAUAUUACUAAUAAUCUAUCUAUAUAUAUAAAAGAGUGAUGGCAUCACGGCGACCCACAAAACAACAAAACUACAGGCCCCCCAACCUCAAAAUUUGACAACACAACCCAUCAUCCACGCCUCUAGGUUGAUACAACAAAAAAGAAAAGAAAAAUAAAGUCCUAAUUAGAGAGAGAGGAAUAAUUGCUUUGAUCUCAUUGCUGCCAGUUAGAAGGCUAAGCUCCUCCAACUUGGUCUCCUAGCUACCCAAACUUGUUAAAUAAAAAACACUUAAAAAUUAGUACAAUAAAAUACUAUAAUAACAGAAAAUAACUAAAAAUAAUACAAGAAAAUAAUAAAAUAUAAUAAAUAAAAAUAUAACUUACAAUAAAAUUAAUUAAAAAAUGCAAAUAACGUCAAAUAAAAAUUACACAACAAUUUUUAACCAAUACCACCACCACUUUGCCACAGCAACGCGUGGCCGGGUACAGCUAGUAUUACCAUAUAUAUA
Molecule: long non-coding RNA, 2794 nt
Filed under: Anolis carolinensis (green anole)
Lineage: Eukaryota; Metazoa; Chordata; Lepidosauria; Squamata; Anolidae
Description: lncRNA (ENSACAG00000044854.1)
Source: RNAcentral